Molecule: long non-coding RNA, 248 nt
Organism: Saccostrea cuccullata (small rock oyster)
Lineage: Eukaryota; Metazoa; Mollusca; Bivalvia; Ostreida; Ostreidae
Exons: 3
Source: RefSeq, a predicted model, not a curated record
AAAACUGCCAUUCUUGAUCGCAGAUCAAAAUGGCGAGGAAGAUACUGAUUGUUCUUCUUUUGAUUUCAUUAUUGGAUAUUUCAUAUCAGGGAUGUCACGUGGAGUUGGAGGCAUAUCGGACAUCAACGAUUUACUAUACAAAAUGUGGUGAAUGGGGAAAAUGGUGGAGAUGCUCAAAAACAAGAGACAAGACGGCGUAUAGAUAUAGAUGCUCCCCUGGCUAUGGAUGGAUCUCAUUUCGUUGUUGU